GAACGCACAUUGCGCCCCUUGGUAUUCCGGGGGGCAUGCCUGUUCGAGCGUCAUUACAACCCUCAAGCUAUGCUUGGUAUUGGGCCCUGCCGGCAACGGCUGGCCCUAAAAUCAGUGGCGGCGCCAUCGUGCUCUCAGCGUAGUAAUUUUUCUCGCUGUUGGGUCUCGGUGAACGCUGGCCAGCAACCCCCAAUUUUUCAGGUUGACCUCGGAUCAGGUAGGGAUACCCGCUGAACUUAAG
This 241-nucleotide unclassified non-coding RNA is filed under the name uncultured Chalara. Its description in RNAcentral is "sequence contains 5.8S rRNA gene". The stretch from base 1 to 53 matches the Rfam family "5.8S ribosomal RNA", at positions 102 to 154 of the family's 154-position model. Lineage: Eukaryota; Fungi; Ascomycota; Leotiomycetes; Helotiales. The record is from RNAcentral.